Long non-coding RNA from Chlorocebus sabaeus (green monkey), 1428 nucleotides. RefSeq lists it as uncharacterized. NCBI's taxonomy places the organism in Eukaryota, Metazoa, Chordata, Mammalia, Primates, Cercopithecidae. The record is from RefSeq and is a predicted model, not a curated record.
AGCGCCGCAAGCGCAGGCUCGGGCUCAGGCUCAGACACCGGCUCCGGCCCCCGGCCUGGCUCGGCGGCCCGGCCGGGUCCCCUCCGCGCGGGAUGGGCACCGACCCUCAGCAUCAGCUGAUACGGCAGAAAUUGCUGACAUCUUAGCAGCCAGGAGGGAAGUGUCCUGGGAGAGACAGACACUUGUUCCAGCAGUGAAAUGGGAUGCUCCAGGCUCAGGUACACACAAGGGUGUUUAGAAAUGCGGAUCUCCAGGGCUCGUGUGCCCAUUUCACAGUGCAGACACGCAGCUCACCCGCAGGGAAGACAGAGAAAGCUCUGACCCCAACAGAAACUGAUAUCAUAUAUAUAUAUAAACACACACACACAGGGCAGAGGAAUAUGUGGUUUUUCAUACACACACAUAUACAUAUUUUCCUCAUUAGUGGGAUAGAGUAACGCUGAGCUGGGCAAAAGAAAGGUUCGAAUUUGCCUGGUAAUAUUGCCACAACUUGAAAGAGGAUGAUUUUCCUCCUAAAGCCUCCUUUGCUCCCCAGCUUCAGAAGCAAACUCUGCAAGGGUUAUGAGUGUGGCAAAAAGAGAGAAAUGGAGAUUUCCUGCAAUCCCAAGGCGUCAACGGCGGGUCCUUCUCAAAGGAAGGUGUUAAAAAUAUAAGUAGUAUGUUUAAACUGUCAAGGAGCCAAAGUGUCACCUUAGAGCAAAAACAAAGCCAGGGGAAAAGGGAGAAAUCAAAAAGCACUCCGGGCCAGGGUGGCCUCAUGCAUACCAAUGGUUUUUGUCAUUUAUGGCUGGGCAAGAUUUAUGACUCGGCGCCCCAAAGCUGUAAACAGAGCACAAAACAGCAAACACUUGCUCCUUAUGGCAUAUUGCAGAGCAACUUGAAAGGGGGAGCCGGCCGCGUAGGAGGUGAGAGCCAGCCGCAAAAAUCCGUUCGGCGGCAUUUUCUCUUCAAACCCGCCCGGUCGGAUGUGGCAUUUGAAGAAAGAAGGCGUGGGUCAAUAAUCAACCCGCACUUUCUCCUCCAAACUGCUGACGCGACUCUCACCGCCUUCUCAGCUAAGCCAGCUGCCGGGAAGGCCAGCUCUCCGUGAGAACCUGCCGGGAGAAGGGAUUCUCUGGGCCAUAGUGACCGAGGGCGCCCGAGCUAGGGCUGGGUCGCCCGGAAUGCAUACCUUUCCACUGGCGCCAAGACCCUGCCGGGCAAAACGCGGGGACCGGACCUGAGGAGCCGCGGGAGCCCAGGGAGAUCUGGGGCUGGAGCUUCGUUCCGGCCAGGGCCUCUAUCCGCCCCGAUACGUGGCUCGCGGGCCGCGGGCCUCAGCGGGCAGAAGUGGGGCUCCGACCUCAAGACGAAGGUCCGGCGUCCUGGCACGCAGAUGUUCGGUGCCCCAGCCUCAAGCCGCUCUGCUGAAAUCCAAAGGACUGGCUU